This is a long non-coding RNA of Aedes albopictus (Asian tiger mosquito), 1650 nucleotides long. RefSeq lists it as uncharacterized. The transcript is spliced from 2 exons. The record is from RefSeq and is a predicted model, not a curated record. Lineage: Eukaryota; Metazoa; Arthropoda; Insecta; Diptera; Culicidae.
CAUGAGGUAAUUCUUCUUCUUCUUCUGUAUGGCUCUACGUCUACACUGGGACUUGGGCUACCUCACUUCAACUUAGUGUUCUUUGAGCACUCCACAGUCAUUAAUUGAAGGGCUUUCUUUGCCUGCUAUUGCAUGAGUUUGUAUAUUGUGAGGCAAGUACAACGUUACACUAUGCCCAGGUAGUAGACAAAAUUUUCCCGAACGGGAAUCGAACCCGCCGUCUCCGGAUUGGCGAUCCAUAGCCUUAACCACUAGACUAACUGGAGACCCUCACACGAGAUACUUCUGAAGGAAUUCUAGAAGAGUCUGCAGAAAUGAUAGAAGUUACAUCUGGAGCAAGCCAAGAACAUGUUUUUGGGGAAUUCAAUAUGAUUGUUCGAACCACUGUGAGACCACUGUAUCAAACCCCUCGUUUAAAUGGUAGCACGGUUAGGUAGGACAAUAAGGAGCUGAUGUCAUAGUCAAGUGGACAUUUAUAAUUGGACAUACUGUGGAAUACAAUGAAAAAGACAUCCUUAUGGUCGAUUAGUUGAUGGCGUUAUAUAUGAUUUCUAUCUUAAGUGAUUUAUACGUGAAUUAUAAUUAGAGUAUGCGGCAAAUUUGAAGUUAAUUGAAAUGAGUGGAAACUAUACAUUAAACUAUUGAAUUUGUUAUAGGAUCCACAUUAUAAAACCUUUAUUUGUACGUCGACUUACAUCGUAUGUGACGAUUUUGUUCACUGUAAUAUCGUUACAGUAGUAAGUUUAUUGUAAGGAUGUUACCAAAAACGUUAUAUUAACUGAACUACUCUAUGAACUAGGUCGAAACAUAAGGGCACAUAUUCGGAGCAAGAUUGGCUCUGCCAGGGUUGCCAAAAUCAUUUGUGGGGAUUAUUUCUCUGAAGGAUUAAACUAAAAUUGUAAGCAAAUAAUAUUAACUAUACGCAAUUAUGUACUAUACAAAUAUAUUUCUUCUAGCUUUGAGCGCGUUACCAACAAACUGCUUCAAAGAGGUUUUUUCCGAUAGUUCCAAUCCGAACAAUGAUUUUUUCUGAAGAAUCUCGGAAGGGUUCUCUGGAUGAAAAUCCUAGAAGGAACUCAUGCAGGAAUCUGUUACAAAAAUAAAAGAAAUUAAUUAUUACAAACCAUUAACACUUCACGGCAUACAUAGAACCUUACAAAUGCACAAUAUACAGACAUCACAAAUUGACGUAGCACAACACAUAACAUAAAUGUGCCCUGUUAUCCAGAUGGAUAACUCCUUCCGAUCACAGGGUGAUGAGGUUUCAUUUAUUAGUUUGGGUCCAUCAGUCAUCCUGAAAUUGUAUUUUAGUUGGCAUUUUGCCUUUUAGUUCACAUCAUUUGUUGCUGUGUUCAUAGCUUGGUUUUGUCUAGGAAAACUAAUCCUAAUCGGGCAUCCCGUUUCAGGGUUCGAUACUUGAGCUUAACAACUUGAAGUCCGUGGCAGGGGAAGGUUUACAUCUCUAGUACUUGACCGCUGCCCGAAAUAGCCUGAAAGUCGGCAAUCAAAGUGGGAUUGCAUUUCAUGGGCCUCUAUUUUUCCAGAACCCUAUAAAUGUGCAUUAAAAGUAUGGGAAUAUAUAUAAGUUAAAAUGAAACAUACAACACAAAGAACGAACGAAUAAUAAUCUUAUAACACAUUAAAAAAUUA